UACGUAGGGGGCUAGCGUUGUCCGGAAUCAUUGGGCGUAAAGAGCUCGUAGGCGGUUCGUCGCGUCGGCUGUGAAAUCCCGAGGCUCAACCUCGGGUCUGCAGUCGAUACGGGCGGACUGGAGUUCGGCAGGGGAGACUGGAAUUCCUGGUGUAGCGGUGAAAUGCGCAGAUAUCAGGAGGAACACCGGUGGCGAAGGCGGGUCUCUGGGCCGAUACUGACGCUGAGGAGCGAAAGCGUGGGGAGCAAACAGG
This 253-nucleotide ribosomal RNA is filed under the name uncultured bacterium. RNAcentral's name for it is "partial 16S ribosomal RNA". It matches the Rfam family "Bacterial small subunit ribosomal RNA", at positions 524 to 776 of the family's 1533-position model. The record is from RNAcentral.